RNAcentral lists this ribosomal RNA (262 nucleotides) under uncultured bacterium. RNAcentral's name for it is "partial 16S ribosomal RNA". It matches the Rfam family "Bacterial small subunit ribosomal RNA", at positions 793 to 1055 of the family's 1533-position model. The record is from RNAcentral.
GUCCACGCCGUAAACGUUGGGCACUAGGUGUGGGGAUCUAUCGACGGUUUCCGUGCCGAAGCUAACGCAUUAAGUGCCCCGCCUGGGGAGUACGGCCGCAAGGCUAAAACUCAAAGGAAUUGACGGGGGCCCGCACAAGCGGCGGAGCAUGUGGCUUAAUUCGAUGCAACGCGAAGAACCUUACCAAGGCUUGACAUUCUGUGUAAUCCGUGGGAACACGGUGAUCCUUCGGGAUCCAGAACAGGUGGUGCAUGGCUGUCGU